RNAcentral lists this long non-coding RNA (4081 nucleotides) under Canis lupus familiaris (dog). Its description in RNAcentral is "lncRNA (ENSCAFG00030009553.1)". The record is from RNAcentral. Lineage: Eukaryota; Metazoa; Chordata; Mammalia; Carnivora; Canidae.
GUGCCCGGGGUGCCCGGGGCGCGGGGGCGCGGGUCGCGCACCUGCAGGGCUGAGCGCGGCUUGGCCCGAGUGGGCGCGGGCGGCGUCGCGCGCGGAGCGGCCGGCAGGUGGCGCCGGGCUCCCCGCGUGGCCGGGCGGCGGGCUGGGCGCCGGGGAACCGCCGGGCCGGCCCCCACCGGGUCCACGCGGGCGCCCGCGAGCGCGCAGGGGGAGGGCGGGGGCGGGCGGGCGCGGCGGGGCCAGCUGCUCCCUGGGCUCGGGCGCCGCCGCCGGCUCCUCGGGAAGCGCCCGCGCCGCGGAGUCGGAGGCGGCCACGAUGGAGGCGCAGGCUCGAGAAAUGCCGAGAAGGCAGCUCUUACUUAAAGUGAGUCUUGUCUUUCUUUUUUUUUUUUUUUUUCUUUUUUUAAAGAUUCUAUUUAUUCAUGAGAGACCCAGAGAGAGAGGCAGAGACACAGGCAGAGGGAGAAGCAGGCUCCCUGCAGGGACCCCCAUGUGGGACUCCAUCCCAGAACCCUGUGAUCAUGACCUGAGUCAAAGGCAAAUGCUCAACCACCGAGCCACCCAGGGGCCCCUAAAUGAGUCUUUUUUGCUCUCCUACAUGAUACUGUUAGUUAAGCAUUCUAGGAAAUUUGGAAAUGGUUUUAACAGGGCUGUGCUGCUCUGGGGAGAAGCAUCUCAUGCACAGUCUGGUCGAGGGAGGAUGUCUGAAGCCAUUUCAGUAAGGAAAGUCACCUUCUACCUGGAGUUUGAGCACACCUGAAUCCACCACUGGCCGAAACUCGGACACCAUCCUGACACCACCUCUGUCCCCACCUUGAGCCCAUAGCUCUGGUUAGUGCUGUUCCUCAGUUCAUCCUCCGUCAAAUGGGUGACCGUUACACUGAGGCUUUGAGAAUCAUCAAAGUCUCCCUCUGUCCUUUAAAAUAACCACCGUACAACUCCUGUUUUAUUCGUACGUAGUUAUUAGUUCAUCAUAUAUACUAUUCUAAGCCAAUUUGACUCCUUUAGGGAUGAAAGGGAGAAAGGAGGAAAGGAAGAAAAAGAAAGGCAGGCUGUACUAGUACAUUUUCAAAGAUGGAUUUAUUGGCAAGUGAAUAUUUUUCUGCAAGUACCUACCACCUGCCAUGGUGGAUUGGCACAGUUAGUGCCAAGCAUGCUUUAUAACUUUUUUAAAUUGAGUAUAAUCUUACUUUAAAUUUCGAAGGUCCUGAAAUUACUGACACAUUAGAAUUUGCUAAUUAAAUGUGGUACAUGGUUUUUCCGUAAAUAAACUUUGUGCAUGUACGUCUAUAUAUAUAUAUAUAUAUAUAUAUAUAUAUAUAUAUAUAUAUGGCUAUAACCAUUCAGUUGUUUCUUGAUCAGAGAACAUAAAGGAGAGUGUUAAUUACCACGUUCUGGAUAAUUACAUUUACAGCUGAAAAUACAAAAUGAGACUGUUUAGCAUCUACAUAAGAUUCUGUUUCCUGGUCCUCCUAAUGAUAUAUUCAGGUAUCGAGAAGGUUUUGUAUUUUCUUGCUCAGAGUUCUUUUAAAUAAACAGAAUCCAACCAGCUUCCUGCUCUGGGAGCCCACAGAGUCACAGCCAAAUAACUAGCUGUUAGCAUAACCCUUUAUAUUAGCUAAAUGCUUUUUGGUACAUCUAAUUGUGAGUAUUCCUAGUACCUUCUGGUAGAGUGGAGGAGGCUGGUGUUGCUCUUGUGCAAAUGACUGGCUAGAACCAGAAAAGGGGANNNNNNNNNNNNNNNNNNNNNNNNNNNNNNNNNNNNNNNNNNNNNNNNNNNNNNNNNNNNNNNNNNNNNNNNNNNNNNNNNNNNNNNNNNNNNNNNNNNNUGUUUUUUAGAGAAAGCCAGUUGGGACCUGUGUCCUUCAUGGGAGAUUUACCUACUGUCCUAUGUUGCUAGGAAACUUUGUCCUGUGCUCACAAAACCUUUUAAACACUUGUUGACUUUAAAAGGAGAUACCUCUUUCUCAGCUACGUCUUGCACAUACCCUUCCGAAAAAUCACCUCACAAACAGGUGAUAGUGUUCAUGAAAGGGGCUAGACUAAGGCACAGAAUGUACUAACAAUGACAGGAUUUGAGACUUACCACACUCACUCUCGGGCCUGGAAAUCCUAAUAUCACACUUAGGUCUGCUGGAGACCAAGGCAGGCUUUAUCACUUGCCAAAAGAAAACCAGAAUGUAGUUUAUAACUGAAGCAAUCAACACAUUUAAUUCCCCUUCCUACCCCCUGAACCUGUAUGGGUCGCCGCAAAUAGUCUCUCAUUUAUUUUCUCUAAGUAACCUCCGAGAAUUAGAUACAGGCCUCGGUCACCAGAAGCGGUGCCGAACCCACAGACCUGCAGUCCUAACAGGUGUCAGCGUCCACGGCAGCUUACCUGUCCUUGUUAAGGUGUUCAUCUUUGGUCACCAGAGCCAUAACUGCCAUUCGGUACAUGUGAUCCGAUACACUCUCCGGCCUCUCGACGCUUCUGUAUACCCAGCCCGUCCGGGGGACUCUCUGAUGAAAAGAAGAGAAAAAAGUUGAUAAAAAUAAAUAUUUAACGUGUCUGCUGUGCUCUUCGAGAGAAAUCUACGGAGUAGGGUACAGAAGUAGCGUGACGGUUUCAGAAAGUAUUACAGGAGGCCUCACCAACCGAAUGGUCCACAUCUGGAAUCAAAUAAGCCAGUGGGGUCAGAGAAGGAGAAAGAGGAGGGGGGGGGGGUGAGUAAAAAUAAAAAUACAAAAUACAAAAAGAGAAAGAGGAGAGGGAGAAAUAAUUCACAUGUAAACACUGCAAGAGUCCAGCAGUCCUGUUACUCCGUGUUACUGGGAUGGGAAUUAUGGGCCAUACAGGAGUUCUUCAGACAUUAAAAAUAAAACUGUAAAGUACUGCGUUUCUCGGAACUCCAAGAGUUGGGCCUUCUUGCAUUUAAAGAGGCAGAACGAACGGGGCCUGUGGGGAAAGCUGCGAACCUAAGGAGCCACAGGCUUGCAGAUUUGGAAGCGCAGAGGAGAGGAGCCUUUCUGGGGCUCCUGCUGCCCCCCGCGGGCUGCGGCGCGGCUGCGGGCGGAGGGGGCGCCUCGGGGCACCCCAACCCCACCCCCGCCCGGGCUCGCCCCGACACCCGGACCCCGCGCCGCCCCGGCCCGGCAGGGAGGGGGAGGCCCGCAGGCCCGGGAGGGGGGGAGGGGGGGAGGGGUGCAGCCUCCGCGGGCUGGAGCCCCCCGCGCCCCCGGCCCGCCGCUCACCUUGAGCUGCCCCACCUGCCGCAGGAACCGCAGCAGCGCCGCCGCCGACCCCGACCCCGACCCCGACCCCGACCCCGAGGCCAUGCGUCCCCGCGCGCCGCGGGCCGGAGCUCCUCCCCUCCUCCUCCUCCCUCUCCGGCUUCUUCGCCUCUUCCCUCCUGACUCCUCCCCCUCCCUCCGGCUCUGGCCUCCUCCCUCCGUCUGUCUCCUCCCUGUCCUCCUCCCUCCCAGUCUUUCUCUUCCCCUCCUGACUCCUCCCCCCUUAUGACUCCUCCCCCUCCUCUCUCCUCCUCCUCCCUCCACCCUCCCCUCCUGACUCCUCCCCCUCCUUUCUCCUCCCCCUCCUCUCUCUCCUCCUUCCUCUUCCCUCCCCUUCCUGACUCCUCCCCCUCCCUCCGUCUCCUCCCUCCUUCCUCUCCCCUCCUCCCUCCGUCUCCUCCCUCUCCUCCUCCUCCCUCCCCGUCUUUCUCUUCCCCUCCUGACUCCUCCCCCUCCUCUCUCUCCUCCCCCUCAUCCUUCCCUCUUAUGACUCCUCCUCCUCUCUCCUCCUCCUCCCUCCACCCCCCUUCCUGACUCCUCCCCCUCCCUCGUCUCUCUCCUCCUCCCUCCCUCCUCUCCCCUCCUCCCUGAUCUCUCCUCCCCCUCCUCCUCCUCCCUGCUCCCUCCCCUUCCUGACUCCUCCCCCCUCGUCCCUCUUCUCUCUCCCCUGCUUCCCCUGCUUCCCAGGGCCAAACCAGGCGGCUCCCUGACCCUUCUAGGAAAGCCCAUUCCCCCUUCCUGCCUCCGUGGCUGCCCUCCGGCGCGGCACCGUCCCUGGCGGGUCUCGCACAGCUGGACCCUCGGAGUCUAC